Molecule: ribosomal RNA, 468 nt
Filed under: uncultured bacterium
Lineage: Bacteria
Description: partial 16S ribosomal RNA
Rfam family: Bacterial small subunit ribosomal RNA
Source: RNAcentral
GACGAACGCUGGCGGCGUGCUUAACACAUGCAAGUCGAACGGAAAGGCCCUGCUUUUGUGGGGUGCUCGAGCGGCGAACGGGUGAGUAACACGUGAGUAACCUGCCCUUGCCUUUGGGAUAACUUCAGGAAACUGGGGCUAAUACCGGAUAGGAGCUCCUGCUGCAUGGUGGGGGUUGGAAAGUUUCGGCGGUUGGGGAUGGACUCGCGGCUUAUCAGCUUGUUGGUGGGGUAGUGGCUUACCAAGGCUUUGACGGGUAGCCGGCCUGAGAGGGUGACCGGCCACAUUGGGACUGAGAUACGGCCCAGACUCCUACGGGAGGCAGCAGUGGGGAAUAUUGCACAAUGGGCGGAAGCCUGAUGCAGCAACGCCGCGUGCGGGAUGACGGCCUUCGGGUUGUAAACCGCUUUCGCCUGUGACGAAGCGUGAGUGACGGUAAUGGGUAAAGAAGCACCGGCUAACUACGUG